AGAGUGAACGCUAGCGGCGUGGUUAAGACAUGCAAGUCGAACGAUGAAGCCCAGCUUGCUGGGCGGAUUAGUGGCAUACGGGUGCGUAACACGUGAGCAACCUGCCUUGAAGUGGGGGAUAGCCCGGGGAAACCCGGAUUAAUACCGCAUGUGGUCCCUAUUCGCAUGAAUAGACGACUAAAGUUUGUAAUGACUCUUCAAGAGGGGCUCGCGGCCUAUCAGCUUGUUGGUGAGGUAAAGGCUCACCAAGGCUAAGACGGGUAGCUGGUCUGAGAGGAUGAUCAGCCACACUGGAACUGAGAUACGGUCCAGACACCUACGGGUGGCAGCAGUUUCGAAUCAUUCACAAUGGGGGAAACCCUGAUGGUGCAACGCCGCGUGGAGGAUGACGGCCUUCGGGUUGUAAACUCCUGUCACCAAGGAACAAACGGCAGGUUCAUAGCCUGUCCUGAGUUAACUUGGAGAGGAAGAGGUGGCUAACUCCGUGCCAGCAGCCGCGGUAAUACGGAGACCUCGAGCGUUACUCGGAUUCACUGGGCGUAAAGAGUAUGUAGGCUGUUCGGUAUGUCAGGUGUGAAAGCCCGGGGCUCAACCCCGGAAUUGCGCCUGAAACUACCGGACUCGAGGCCUGGAGAGGAGAGUGGAAUUCCUGGUGUAGCGGUGAAAUGCGUAGAUAUCAGGAGGAACACCAAUGGCGAAGGCAGCUCUCUGGACCGGUUCUGACGCUGAGAUACGAAAGCGUGGGUAGCGAAAGGGAUUAGAUACCCCUGUAGUCCACGCCGUAAACUUUGUACACUACGUUUCGGAGG
RNAcentral lists this ribosomal RNA (809 nucleotides) under uncultured organism. Its description in RNAcentral is "bacterial SSU rRNA". It matches the Rfam family "Bacterial small subunit ribosomal RNA", at positions 26 to 829 of the family's 1533-position model. The record is from RNAcentral.